RNAcentral lists this long non-coding RNA (899 nucleotides) under Anas platyrhynchos platyrhynchos (common mallard). RNAcentral describes it as "lncRNA (ENSAPLG00000029357.1)". The record is from RNAcentral. Lineage: Eukaryota; Metazoa; Chordata; Aves; Anseriformes; Anatidae.
AAAUAAUCAGAUCCAAACCCUCCAAGUUACUUUUAAAUUUCAUGUACUCACAAGGAUUUUCAUAUCAGAGCAUAUCCUUUAUGGUGAUUUGUACAUCUCCACUCAAGCUUUCCCAUUCUACAGGUUUGGCAUUAGUUAAAUGCUCUGGGUUAUACUACUGAUGAUGAAGGGAAGCAGAUUUUGUUUGCUGUCAAUAUUCUCUGCACUGGAAUGUAUGAUGGAGAGGGGGUAAAUUACAUGCUCUCUGAUACUAGUCUGUAAAGGCAGAAAAUACAUAAUGAGCAAAAGCGGGUGGAGUAUUCCCUAUUGUAAGCCUUGGGACACUGGAAUUUAGAGAUAUAUCACUCAGAAACAUCUCCCUUUCUCAGGGGUUGUGUUGUUGCACCAGAUGAGAGGGCCAAGACUACAGAGAGACCUUCCUGAUCUGCAUCCUCACCCCCUUACAAUAAGUCAAGCUCCAGGGAAGCUGGAUUCUGUAUGUUAGCAGAAGAUACAGUUGAGCUCAGACUUGGCAUCCCAAGUAGUUAUUGGCCAACAGUUUUAAUCUAAAGGCUGCUGGCCCAGAUCUUUCUUCAUGAGGCUGGAUUGACUACUAUGCAAGCCUUUCCUGGCAGAAAUUUGACUAUUAUGUUCCUGGAAACCAUCAGUGACAAAGAUGCCACAGCCAUCUAUGAUCUGCUGUGCUGCACCGACCACGGUUGGUAAGGCCGAGAGAGAUACUUCACCCAGCCUACAACAUUUUGACAAGCAAGAAAAGCCACUGGGAACCUGUAACUUCUCCUCUUCAUACUAGAGCAAAGCAUGUCCUGGAUUUCCUGCUCUGGUAGGCUGCAAAAACCAUGGUUUUGGUGAGGACUUUAGCUCAAGUCCACAAUAAAGGGGUAGAAAAUGGUUUUGCA